This 497-nucleotide ribosomal RNA is filed under the name uncultured bacterium. RNAcentral describes it as "partial 16S ribosomal RNA". It matches the Rfam family "Bacterial small subunit ribosomal RNA", at positions 28 to 507 of the family's 1533-position model. The record is from RNAcentral.
GAUGAACGCUGGCGGCGUGCCUAAUACAUGCAAGUCGAGCGAACGGACGAGAAGCUUGCUUCUCUGAUGUUAGCGGCGGACGGGUGAGUAACACGUGGAUCACCUACCUAUAAGACUGGGAUAACUUCGGGAAACCGGAGCUAAUACCGGAUAAUAUUUUGCACCGCAUUGUUCAAAAGUGAAAGACGGUCUUUCUGUCACUUCUAGCUGCAUCCGCGCUGCUUUAGCUAGUUGGUAAGGUAACGGCUUACCAAGGCUACGAUGCAUAGACGACCUGCGAGAGGGAUCGGCCACACUGGAACGGAAACACGGUCAAGACGACUAAGGGAGGCAGCAGUAGGGAAUGGGACGCAAUGGGCGGAAGCAUGACGGAGCAGGGCCGCGUGAGAGAUGAAGGUCUUGGGUUCGUAAAAAUGUGUUACUAGGGGAGAACAGAUGUGGAAGGAAAUGUGCACAGAGUGACGGUAACGAAUCAGAAAGCAACGGCUAACUACGUG